AAAGGAAGAAAGAUUGAAGAAGUUAGUAUCCAUGCUUAAUUGUAGUUCAACAAGCCAUCGGGAAAUAUGCCGUACAAGCACGGUAGGAUUCGGAUUUAAAUGUUGAACCACUACUUCAUUUUUGUGGACCCAGAUAAAAUAAGCCACAACAGCCACCAUACAAAAGAAGCGACAUUUCUCUUGAUGUAAGAAGAAAGAAUUAAAAAAGAAAACCCUGACAAAAUCAGUCACAGAUGAAAUAUGUAAUCUAUUAAAAUAUAAGCCGAUCGGACAAAUAGCCUAAAUCCUUGCAGUGAAGUCACAUUCAAGGAAGAGGUGGGGAAUAGAUUCAGUAUUAGUAUCACAAAACGCACAUGAGACAUCUAGAUUCAUCCAUUUACUCAACUGUUCCCGAAAAGGAACACCAUUAAGCAACAAUCGCCAGAAAAAAAAUUGUAAAUUUUGGGUGCAAAUUCAAUUUCCAGAAAAAUUCCACCAAUGUGAAGGAAGAGAAAGGUAUGAGUUAGGGGUAGAACCCCGAAAAGGACCAACGGGUUGAGCAAGAAGAAAUCGAGAUGCAUGCUUUGUAGAAAAAAUACCAAUGGAGGAAGUGCGACAUUUCCACUCAUCGGGGACGAGAGGAGAUUGGUAUUCUACAAAUAUGGGAACACACAUUGGGAGGGACAAGGUUGAGUAAAACAUGAGUAUUCCAGCAGCCAUCUCGAAUAAAGUCGCUGACUCGAAAAAAGGAGUGAGAAGAAGAGGAAGAGCCCGAUACCAAAAAUUCCAAGAGGGUAGGAACCAAGGAUCAACCCAAAAGAAAGUGGAAGAACCAGAUCCAAUCGACACAUAAACCAUAUGCUUAAGAAGAGGUAAUAUGGAAACAAGACUUUUCCAGAUCCAAGACCCCUUCUUGGUAGAGAUGGAUGAGUCAACGAGAGAAUUCUUAAGGAAGAAUCGCGUCUUAAGGAUUGACGCCCAUAGAGAAUUAGAUUUAGUAAGUAAUCUCCAACCCAAUUUUAGGUGAAGGGCUUGAUUACGUGUUUUGGCAUUUCUAAUGCCAAGGCCGCCCCGCUGCCAAGGGGAACAAAUCCGAUGCCACGAGAUAAGAUGAGCUCUUCGUUUGGAACUUUCAAGAUUGCCAAAAAAAUGCCCAUUCCAAAAGCGGGCACAGAUAGAGUCAAUCUGACGACAAAUACUGAGCGAGAGGUCAAAACAAGACAUCCAAAAAGAUGGAAUCGAAUAUAGGAGCGAUUGAACUAACACUUUCCCACCAACAUAGGAAAGAAGAUAAGAUUUCCAAAUUGAUAAUUUCUUAUCCAUCCGAUCAAUAAUGUGUUUAAAGGUCCUUACACGAGAAUCAGAUCACCUCCAUUUACUAUAAUUUUAUAUUGUAAUUCCAACCCAAGUUACCAUUUAUUAGUCCUAUCCAAUUCAAGCAAUUACGGCAAAUCUGAUUCUCCAAACCAUUUUAGUUAAUAAGAAUUAAUUCGAUACAACAUAUUAUAGGGUGUUAAAUUUCAGUCAAGACAGAUUCAUAUCGAACCGAACCAAAACAAUUUUUUACCAAUUCAUAUCGAACCAAAUCAAAACGUCAGAAAUGUUUUUCAGAUGACUAGCAAACAGAGCCUUACUCAUUCCCUUUGAGUGAUAUAGUUUAUAAUAAUAUAUAAUGAAACCAAUAAAAAAAAUAAAAAAUCAGACCAAACCGGACCAAAGCUGAAACUUCCUUAACUAUUUGGAUUUUUAUGAACUCAGAAACAAAUCGAAAUCAAUUUAAUUUGAUCAAAACCGAACUGAACUGACCAAUUGACACCAUUAAAAUUUACAGCUCAUAAUUAUAUUUAGCCAUGUAAUUUAAAUAGAAAUUUGUUGUAUUCAAAGUUAUAUCGACUAAAUUUACGGUGUAAUAAAUAAAUUUAAACAGUUGUCGUUGUCAUGCAAGAAUGUAUAGUUGUCAUUGUCAUGCAAGAAUGUAUAAAUGAAUUUACAUAUGUAAAGGGUUUAGUUUUAUCAUAAACUCUUACCAAAAAAAAGAACUAAUUUUAAUAUAAAUAACUAACAAGCAAAUCCUAUUCUCAUACAUGACAUUACUCUCUAAAGACUAGACAGAAGAAUGAAGUUGUCUUCGUUCCUUCUCAGCUUGAUUGUUCUUCUCCUUCUCUUCACUGAAGGUAUGUUUCAGGAAGCAUGGAUUGCGAUGUAUCGGGUUGCUAUAGGGCAAUACAAUUUUCGGAUGCACUAAUUCAAAGUGCUCCGACCGUUGCAGGCACAUGAAUUACAGCAAAAUUAUGACUGGGUAUUGUGAGAGUGAUUUCUGCCAUUGCAACUGUUGCCCUAAGUCACAAUUCAAAUCUCGUAAAGUCAUGGAGGAUCCAAAUAUUUGAAGUUUAUGCUUAUUGUAAUCUCUUUUUCACCCUAAAGUAUAUGAAUAUAAUUUUAUCAGUUUGAUAUC
Long non-coding RNA from Macadamia integrifolia, 2434 nucleotides. RefSeq lists it as uncharacterized. The transcript has 2 exons. Lineage: Eukaryota; Viridiplantae; Streptophyta; Magnoliopsida; Proteales; Proteaceae. The record is from RefSeq and is a predicted model, not a curated record.